GAAGGAGGGCGCGCUGCAGGCGCUGACUGGGAGUGACCCUGGGAAGCAUUUUUUGGAGAAUAUAAGUUUUUGCAGCCUGGUUUAGAUGGUGUUUCUGAGACUCUCUCUACUGAUGUUGCGUCGUUGCAGCUUCUUGCUGGCAGGAAUGGGCUGAAGACUUAGGAUGGAACUGUAGAACAUGGAGUGAAUAUUUGGAGAGCACAGGGGAAAAAAAAGACAAAAAGAUUUUCAAUUUGGUCUUGAUCAUAGUCAGUUUUUAUGAUCACUGUGAGAAUGUCUAUAGCAUCACUGUGACUACUGCUAUCCAGACUAUUGACAGCAAUCGUUUAUUUGCACUGCGACAUGUCUACCUAUAGCUGUGAAGAAUGCAGUUAGCUAGCGCAAACCUAUCCUCCACCUUACAGGCAGUGUAGAGCAGAGAAAAUCUACUUUGGCAUCAUAACAGCUAACUGUGGUUAGCUCAUCUCCUUCCUCGGGGAUUAUUUGAUAAAGGUGCUGCUGAAAGACUGGCAUCUGUAGAAGAACAGAGAAUAAGUUGUGUCUGCAGUGCUGAGGAAACAAGUCUGGAAGAAACCUUAAGAAGUCGUUUUAAAAACAGAAUCUGUUAUAACCAGAACAUUCCUGACAGUCACUUUUCUAACCAGCUGCUAAAGCUGUGUAGGGAUUGUGUGUUUUCCUUGCAUGUCUGUCCUUACCUCUGCAAAGUUUUCUUGAUGUCUUACUCAGAUCUCCAUGGCUGGAAUGUAAGUGCAUAUUUCUGUCC
This 763-nucleotide long non-coding RNA is filed under the name Apteryx owenii (little spotted kiwi). Its description in RNAcentral is "lncRNA (ENSAOWG00000016528.1)". Lineage: Eukaryota; Metazoa; Chordata; Aves; Apterygiformes; Apterygidae. The record is from RNAcentral.